GAUGAAGAACGUAGCGAAAUGCGAUAAGUAGUGUGAAUUGCAGAAUUCAGUGAAUCAUCGAAUCUUUGAACGCACAUUGCGCCCUUUGGUAUUCCUUAGGGCAUGCCUGUUCGAGCGUCAUUUGAAACCUCAAGCUCAGCUUGGUGUUGGGUGUCUGUCCCCGCCUCACCGCGGGGACUCGCCUCAAAAUCAUUGGCGGCCGGUACGUUGGCUUCGAGCGCAGCAGAAACGCGAACUCGAGGCCCAGCGGAUCGGCGACCAGAAGUCACUUCUUCACAGUUUGACCUCGGAUCAGGUAGGGAUACCCGCUGAACUUAAGCAUAUCAAUAAGCGGAGGA
RNAcentral lists this unclassified non-coding RNA (338 nucleotides) under soil metagenome. RNAcentral describes it as "partial contains 5.8S ribosomal RNA, internal transcribed spacer 2, and large subunit ribosomal RNA". The stretch from base 1 to 120 matches the Rfam family "5.8S ribosomal RNA", at positions 35 to 154 of the family's 154-position model. The record is from RNAcentral.